This 392-nucleotide unclassified non-coding RNA is filed under the name Hevea brasiliensis (rubber tree). The record is from RNAcentral. Lineage: Eukaryota; Viridiplantae; Streptophyta; Magnoliopsida; Malpighiales; Euphorbiaceae.
GGUAGAUAUGGUCAAUGCCUUUUGUUGGGAAAUUUUGUGGUCAUAAAUAGGAAUAUAAUUAAUUUAUUAGUUUUGGUAGUAUGAAACUUUAAUUGCAGGAUUUUAUGAGUUAUUGAGUUGCAUAGGUUAAGAGAAGAAAAAAUAUAUGAACUGAGAUAUGGUGAUUUGAGUGCUUAAGAAAAAUGUCAUUCUUGAAUUGCACAUAUAUUUAAAUAUAGUGUAAAAAACUUUUCACAUACCCAUGGUUGAUGGGCAUAGGAUUUCUUACUUUGGCCGAUGCUACAGGCCUAGUGACUCUAUGAGUAACACUAAGUUUUGCUAGCAAAGGACAUUUGCUUUUGAUUCUUGCAGAAAUUAAGUGGAGGAACUUCAGAAUUUUCUGAUAAUGUAUC